GGAUGGAUCAUUAAACAUAUCUACGUAUCAACCAAUCGUGAACUCUCGUUUUUUCCAACGUGCUCUGUUUUUUGGUUAAUUUGGGGAGUCCCGGCCUCUGAGCUGUCCGAGCUGUAAAAGGCUUUGGCGGUGUACGACGUGCUUGGCUUUUCGAAGAGACUUAAAGACAUCAUGGAGGAAACUUAUUAACCCAUUGUAUUAUCAUCCCCAGUUAUUUUAUUCUUUGUCGCGGCCUAACGGCGGACUUUCUAGUAAGAAAUUUUUGUACAACUCUUAACGAUGGAUAUCUAGGCUCUCGGAUCGAUGAAGAACGCAGCGAAAUGCGAUACGUAAUGCGAAUUGCAGGAUUCAGUGAAUCAUCAAAUCUUUGAACGCAACUUGCAGUUGCCGGGGUAAAAGCCGGCAACUAUACUUCUCUGAGUAUCGUCUUCAACCAAUCUCGUCUGCGUGCUUUCUUUGUAACAGAAGGGAGCACAAGGGCGGAAAAUGAGAGUCUUGUUCAGUAAUUGAGCUAGUCUCUUGAAAUAAAGUGUCUGCCUCAUUGUGGAAAUGGGGCUGCUAGUUGUCAUUCGGUGGAGUGAUCUUCGAAAGGAGAAAGCUUCACUGGGUGAUGCGGAUUUAGAAGCCAAAUAGCAUACCUUGCUCUUGGCCGGAUACCUUGGGAUCAACUUCACCUGUUUCGUUUAGUCUAACGAAGGCGUUGUUACCAAUUAUCAGAAGUCGAGCGAUAAAUCCAACUAGUUGAAGUGUGAUAAUAGGGACAAAAGACUCGAAAGGGUUUUGCGUCUUUAAAACUAACUUUAGCUAGGGAUGCAAGAUCUCUGAGAAAAGUAGCAGUUAAGUCUUUGUAAGGCGAGGAAUGGGAUGGACGAUAACUCCUAGUAGGAUACCGGUUGAGGUGAGCCAGGGAAUAACCGUUAACCAGACGGUUUCUUCUUGGUCUUAUUAGUAACUAAGCAAGGGUCUUACAGCUGAAGGUGCUUCGUUUUAACAAUCAUUUAGCAGUCCAACUCAUACAGUUUCGUGACAACGAGGUACGAGAGUUCUUGGAGUCCCUUAAACAAGGACUUUUCAAGAAAACUUCUUGAAAUUUGAUCUCAGAUGAAGUAAGACUACCCGCCGAAUUUAAGCAUAUUAUUAAGCGGAGGAAAAGAAACUAACAAGGAUUCCCCUAGUAACGGCGAGUGAAGCGGGAAAAGCUCAAAGUUAAAAUCGGUGUCCCUAGCGGGAUUCCGAAAUGUAACCUGGAGACCUUGUCCCAGUCCAGACCCGGGUAUAAAUCUUUUGAAACAAGGUAUCAGAGAGGGUGAGAAUCCCGUCUUUGACUUGGAGUUCUGGACGUACGGGCGGGGAUCAAAGAGUCGGAUAGCUUGGGAAUGCUGUCCUAAAUGGGUGGUAAAUUUCAUCUAAAGCUAAAUACAGCCGAGAGACCGAUAGUGAACAAGUACCGUGAGGGAAAGAUGAAAAGAACUUUGAAAAGAGAGUUAAAAAGUACUUGAAAUCGUUAAGAGGUAAGCUUAGAAACCCAGUUAUGCUGAGCUCCAAUAAGCGGUAGCUGAAACGUAGUUCCAGGAUGACGACCUAAAAAGCGUUUGUCUUGGCUGCGGUAAGGUUGCCGUGGUUUGAGGCUUGGUUUGUCAAGGUCAGGUAGAGGUGUGGGAGAAAGCUGGUGGAAGAAGGGCUGCUAGGGGCGACUCUAGUGGCAGUUUAGACGCUAGCCAUACCAUGUCACUGCCUGAGGUAAAACUCGAUAACGUGCCACGCGGUUGUUGUUCCCCGCUAUCCAGUGUCUGACUCACGAUUGUGUCGUGUUAGGGUGCUGGUGUGUGAUGGUGUGACAAUUGACAGUACGUUCGCGAUCUUGACUAAAUGGUUUUCCAAGACCCGUCUUGAAACACGGACCAAGGAGUCUAACCUAUAUGCGAGUAUUUGGGUGUAAAAACCCUGAUGCGGAAUGAAAGUGAAGGCAGCCUUGUGCUGCUGAGGUAGGAAACCCGCAAGGGUGGCACUAUCGCCCGAUCUGACCUUCUGGAAAGAUUUGAGGAAGAGCAUAUCUGUUGGGACCCGAAAGAUGGUGAACUAUGCCUGAUCAGGGUGAAGCCAGGGGAAACUCUGGUGGAGGCUCGUAGCGAUACUGACGUGCAAAUCGUUCGUCUGAAUUGGGUAUAGGGGCGAAAGACUAAUCGAACCAUCUAGUAGCUGGUUCCCGC
Molecule: unclassified non-coding RNA, 2210 nt
Filed under: uncultured fungus
Lineage: Eukaryota; Fungi
Description: sequence contains 18S rRNA gene, ITS1, 5.8S rRNA gene, ITS2, 28S rRNA gene
Rfam family: Eukaryotic large subunit ribosomal RNA (bases 1093-2210)
Source: RNAcentral